AUAACCUGGAGGAAGGUGGGGAUGACGUCAAAUCAUCAUGCCCCUUAUGCUUAGGGCUACACACGUGCUACAAUGGGUAGUACAGAGGGUGGCCAAGCCGUAAGGUGGAGCUAAUCCCUUAAAGCUAUUCUCAGUUCGGAUUGUAGGCUGAAACUCGCCUACAUGAAGCUGGAGUUACUAGUAAUCGCAGAUCAGAAUGCUGCGGUGAAUGCGUUCCC
Molecule: ribosomal RNA, 218 nt
Filed under: Clostridioides difficile
Lineage: Bacteria; Bacillati; Bacillota; Clostridia; Peptostreptococcales; Peptostreptococcaceae
Description: partial 16S ribosomal RNA
Rfam family: Bacterial small subunit ribosomal RNA
Source: RNAcentral